Molecule: ribosomal RNA, 260 nt
Filed under: uncultured bacterium
Lineage: Bacteria
Description: partial 16S ribosomal RNA
Rfam family: Bacterial small subunit ribosomal RNA
Source: RNAcentral
AGUGGCGGACGGGUGAGUAACGCGUGGGGAACCUGCCCUGUACAGGGGGAUAACACUUAGAAAUAGGUGCUAAUACCGCAUAAGCGCACAGUGUCGCAUGAUACAGUGUGAAAAACUCCGGUGGUACAGGAUGGACCCGCGUCUGAUUAGCUGGUUGGCGGGGUAACGGCCCACCAAGGCGACGAUCGGUAGCCGGCCUGAGAGGGUGAACGGCCACAUUGGGACUGAGACACGGCCCAAACUCCUACGGGAGGCAGCAG